CUAAAUGUGAGGAUUUUAUCUUUGUAUUGUAGCUAACGCGUUAAGCACUCCGCCUGGGGACUACGGUCGCAAGACUAAAACUCAAAGGAAUUGACGGGGACCCGCACAAGCGGUGGAGCAUGUGGUUUAAUUCGAUGCUACGCGAAAAACCUUACCACUUUUUGACAUGAAGGUCGUAUCCCUCCUAACAGGGGGAGUCAGUUCGGCUGGACCUUACACAGGUGCUGCAUGGUUGUCGUCAGCUCGUGUCGUGAGAUGUUGGGUUAAGUCCCGCAACGAGCGCAACCCUCAUUCUUAGUUACCAACAG
This 308-nucleotide ribosomal RNA is filed under the name Ehrlichia canis. Its description in RNAcentral is "bacterial SSU rRNA". It matches the Rfam family "Bacterial small subunit ribosomal RNA", at positions 816 to 1124 of the family's 1533-position model. The record is from RNAcentral. Lineage: Bacteria; Pseudomonadati; Pseudomonadota; Alphaproteobacteria; Rickettsiales; Anaplasmataceae.